RNAcentral lists this ribosomal RNA (255 nucleotides) under uncultured Pseudomonas sp. RNAcentral's name for it is "partial 16S ribosomal RNA". It matches the Rfam family "Bacterial small subunit ribosomal RNA", at positions 1129 to 1382 of the family's 1533-position model. Lineage: Bacteria; Pseudomonadati; Pseudomonadota; Gammaproteobacteria; Pseudomonadales; Pseudomonadaceae. The record is from RNAcentral.
CGGUGGGCACUCUAAGGAGACUGCCGGUGACAAACCGGAGGAAGGUGGGGAAUGACGUCAAGUCAUCAUGGCCCUUACGGCCUGGGCUACACACGUGCUACAAUGGUCGGUACAAAGGGUUGCCAAGCCGCGAGGUGGAGCUAAUCCCAUAAAACCGAUCGUAGUCCGGAUCGCAGUCCGCAACUCGACUGCGUGAAGUCGGAAUCGCUAGUAAUCGUGAAUCAGAAUGUCACGGUGAAUACGUUCCCGGGCCUU